Molecule: ribosomal RNA, 1554 nt
Filed under: metagenome
Description: bacterial SSU rRNA
Rfam family: Bacterial small subunit ribosomal RNA
Source: RNAcentral
AGAGUUUGAUCCUGGCUCAGAACGAACGCUGGCGGCAUGGCUAAAACAUGCAAGUCGCACGCGAAAGUUUUUUUCGGAAAACGAGUAGAGUGGCGAAAGGGCGAGUAAUGCAUGGGUAACGUACCCCGGGCACGAGGACAGCUGUGGGAAACCGCAGGUAAUACUCGAUGAGACCACGGUGUCAUAUGGCACAGCGGUCAAAGGGCGGGGAUCCCUUCGGGGACCUGCUGGCCUGGGAGCGGCCCAUGUCCUAUCAGCUUGUUGGUGAGGUAACUGCUCACCAAGGCAAUGACGGGUAGCGGGACUGAGAGGUUGACCCGCCGCAUUGGGACUGAGACACUGCCCAGACUCCUACGGGAGGCUGCAGUAACGAAUAUUGGGCAAUGGGCGAAAGCCUGACCCAGCAAUGCCGCGUGUGGGAAGAAGCUCUUCGGGGUGUAAACCACUGUCAGGGAUUACCAAGCAAUGAGGGCUAAUAUCCCUCAAAGUUGAGGCGUCCCAGAGGAAGCCACGGCUAACUUCGUGCCAGCAGCCGCGGUAAGACGAAGGUGGCAAGCGUUGUUCGGAAUCACUGGGCUUAAAGAGCACGUAGGCGGCUUAUCAAGCGUUUUGUGAAAUCCCUCGGCUCAACCGAGGAAUUGCUUGGCGAACUGAUAGGCUUGAGGCAGGUAGGGGCGAGUGGAACUCUUGGUGGAGCGGUGGAAUGCGUAGAUAUCAAGAGGAACGCCGGAGGUGAAGACGACUCGCUGGGCCUGUUUAGGUUUCGAUCCUGAUUCGUCGGGAUUGGGACCUUUUCCUGACGCUGAGGUGCGAAAGCCAGGGGAGCGAACGGGAUUAGAUACCCCGGUAGUCCUGGCCCUAAACGAUGUCCACUAGGUCAAUGGUUCUCUGACGGAUUGUUGGCCGAAAUAAAAACGUUAAGUGGACCGCCUGGGGAGUACGGUCGCAAGGCUAAAACUCAAAGGAAUUGACGGGGGCUCACACAAGCGGUGGAGCAUGUUGCUUAAUUCGAUUCAACGCGAAGAACCUUAUCCUGGGCUUGACAUGUGCGGAUGCCUUCCUGGAAACAGGAUGGCUGCCUUUCGGGGUGAAACGUACACAGGUGCUGCAUGGCUGUCGUCAGCUCGUGUCGUGUGAUGUUGGGUUAAGUCCCGUAACGAGCGAAACCCUUGUCGCUAGUUGCCAGCGGGUCAUGCCGGGGACUCUAGCGAGACUGCCGGUGUUAAACCGGAGGAAGGUGGGGAUGACGUCAAGUCCUCAUGGCCUUUAUGCCCAGGGCUGCAAACGUGCUACAAUGGCUGGUACAAACCGACGCAAGACCGCGAGGUGGAGCAAAUCGGAAAAAGCCGGCCCCAGUUCGGAUUGCAGUCUGCAACUCGACUGCAUGAAGUUGGAAUCGCUAGUAAUCGUAGAUCAGCUAUGCUACGGUGAAUGUGUUCCUGAGCCUUGUACACACCGCCCGUCAAGUCAUGGAAGCUGGUAGCGCCCGAAGUCGGUCCGUUUCCGGGCUGCCGAAGGUGAGAUCGGUGACUGGGACUAAGUCGUAACAAGGUA